CUCAGUCCUCUCAUUCUUAGCAUGUGUCAUAACUGUCUCAGCAUUACUUGUUACCCUCUCCUCCCUAUUUUUCUUUGUUGCAGAUUUUUUCCUUGCCAUUUUCGAACCUACACUUGUGCUGUCGAAACUGUGUUGUCUCCAGUUUUCAGCUUCUUGGCUUCCGAAGCAUUAGUGCUAUAUCAUUUCAAUACGACAAAAAAAAUUAAUGAUUUCUUUAAACUAUUAUUAACUUCCUUUAUCGAUCGAUCAUAGUAAUUUAUUCCUGUAAAAAAAACAACAUAAUUUACUUACACUUUCUUUUCCUUUUAUCCUCAUCCAUUGUCAAGAAAUCUGAAUUGAUGUCUUGUUUACGUCUAUCGUAAAAUCAAUAUCAAUUUCUCCUAUAAACAUAAACAAUUAGUACGGAUAAUUUACUAAUCAAUGCAUGUUAUAUUAGCAUUGGACAGUUCAUUUGUCGUAUAAAUUUUAAAAAAGAAAGAGUGCUAAACCGUCAUCGUCCCUUAUUUUAUCUCUUCGUGGUGAUGAUCGGAGAUCGCUAGAUUCCUUAGACGAAGACAUUCUUUUUGUUUAUAUUUAUUAAAAAAUCACUGAAUAUAUGUUAAAGUGCAAUAUAGAAAUCGACCAUCCAAGAGUUUUAAAAAAUCUAAAAAAAGUACCUUGUUCUCUAAAACACCUCUCUUCUUAAUGAAACCUCAGUAAAGCGACGCUCCUGUUUCGGUAAAAACAGAGAUUCAGCGGAACCCCUCACUCCGUUUUCUCAAGUCAACAGGAAUGGUUUAAAUAUAAAAAAAAACAUUCAUACCUUCUUAAAUGGACGCAUCCGAUCGUCUGAAGGAACCAUUUGACUAGGGUUUCUAUAGAAAAAUUUCGUCGACAAUGAGGGAUGAAAAAAGAGAGAGUUUUGGAUUUUAG
This 912-nucleotide long non-coding RNA is filed under the name Zostera marina. RNAcentral describes it as "long non-coding RNA (ZMAR_LNC004372)". Lineage: Eukaryota; Viridiplantae; Streptophyta; Magnoliopsida; Alismatales; Zosteraceae. The record is from RNAcentral.